GUGGGGAAUCUUGCGCAAUGGGCGAAAGCCUGACGCAGCCAUGCCGCGUGAAUGAUGAAGGUCUUAGGAUUGUAAAAUUCUUUCACCGGGGACGAUAAUGACGGUACCCGGAGAAGAAGCCCCGGCUAACUUCGUGCCAGCAGCCGCGGUAAUACGAAGGGGGCUAGCGUUGCUCGGAAUUACUGGGCGUAAAGGGUGCGUAGGCGGACAGUUUAGUCAGAGGUGAAAGCCCAGGGCUCAACCGUGGAAUUGCCUUUGAUACUGGCUGUCUUGAGUACGGGAGAGGUGAGUGGAACUCCGAGUGUAGAGGUGAAAUUCGUAGAUAUUCGGAAGAACACCAGUGGCGAAGGCGACUCACUGGCCCGUUACUGACGCUGAGGCGCGAAAGCGUGGGGAGCAAACAGGAUUAGAAACCCUAGUAGUCC
RNAcentral lists this ribosomal RNA (425 nucleotides) under uncultured bacterium. Its description in RNAcentral is "partial 16S ribosomal RNA". It matches the Rfam family "Bacterial small subunit ribosomal RNA", at positions 354 to 796 of the family's 1533-position model. The record is from RNAcentral.